AUUGAACGCUGGCGGCAGGCCUAACACAUGCAAGUCGAACGAGUGGCGGACGGGUGAGUAAUGUCUGGGAAACUGCCUGAUGGAGGGGGAUAACUACUGGAAACGGUAGCUAAUACCGCAUACCAUCGGAUGUGUCCAGAUGGGAUUAGCUAGUAGGUGGGGUAAAGGCUCACCUAGGCGACGAUCCCUAGCUGGUCUGAGAGGAUGACCGGCCAAACUGGAACGGUACCACGGUCCGGACUCCUACGGGAGGAAGCAGUGGGGAAUAUUGCACAAUGGGCGCAAGCCGGAUGCAGACAUGCCGCGUGUUUGAAGAAGGCCUUCGGGUUGUAAAGUACUUUCAGCGGGAAGGCGUUACCCGCAGAAGAAGCACCGGCUAACUCCGUGCCAGCAGCCGCGGUAAUAC
RNAcentral lists this ribosomal RNA (406 nucleotides) under uncultured bacterium. Its description in RNAcentral is "partial 16S ribosomal RNA". It matches the Rfam family "Bacterial small subunit ribosomal RNA", at positions 30 to 526 of the family's 1533-position model. The record is from RNAcentral.